GACGAACGCUGGCGGCGUGCUUAACACAUGCAAGUCGAACGGCAAGGCCCUGCUUUUGUGGGGUGCUCGAGUGGCGAACGGGUGAGUAACACGUGAGUAACCUGCCCUUGACUUUGGGAUAACUUCAGGAAACUGGGGCUAAUACCGGAUAGGAGCUCCUGCUGCAUGGUGGGGGUUGGAAAGUUUCGGCGGUUGGGGAUGGACUCGCGGCUUAUCAGCUUGUUGGUGGGGUAGUGGCCUACCAAGGCUUUGACGGGUAGCCGGCCUGGGAGGGUGACCGGCCACAUGGGGACUGCGGUAGGGCCCAGACUCCAACGGGAGGCAGCAGGGGGGAAUAUUGCACAAUGGGAGGAAGCCUGAUGAAGCAACGCCGCGGGCGGGAUGACGGCCUUCGGGUUGUAAACAGCUGCCGCCUGGGACGAAGCGGGAGUGACGGUAAUGGGUAAAGAAGCACCGGCUAACUACGUG
Molecule: ribosomal RNA, 468 nt
Filed under: uncultured bacterium
Lineage: Bacteria
Description: partial 16S ribosomal RNA
Rfam family: Bacterial small subunit ribosomal RNA
Source: RNAcentral